RNAcentral lists this ribosomal RNA (379 nucleotides) under uncultured cyanobacterium. RNAcentral describes it as "bacterial SSU rRNA". It matches the Rfam family "Bacterial small subunit ribosomal RNA", at positions 376 to 770 of the family's 1533-position model. Lineage: Bacteria; Bacillati; Cyanobacteriota. The record is from RNAcentral.
CGCAAGCCUGACGGAGCAAUACCGCGUGGGGGAUGACGGUCUGUGGAUUGUAAACCCCUUUUCUCUAGGAAGAAGUUCUGACGGUACUAGAGGAAUCAGCAUCGGCUAACUCCGUGCCAGCAGCCGCGGUAAGACGGAGGAUGCAAGCGUUAUCCGGAAUUAUUGGGCGUAAAGAGUCCGUAGGUGGUCUUGCAAGUCUAUUGUCAAAGCCCGCAGCUUAACUGCGGAGAGGCAGUGGAAACUGUGAGACUAGAGUAUGGUAGGGGUAGAGGGAAUUCCCAGUGUAGCGGUGAAAUGCGUAGAUAUUGGGAAGAACACCGGUGGCGAAAGCGCUCUACUGGACCAUAACUGACACUGAGGGACGAAAGCCAAGGUAGCG